Molecule: ribosomal RNA, 372 nt
Filed under: uncultured organism
Description: partial 16S ribosomal RNA
Rfam family: Bacterial small subunit ribosomal RNA
Source: RNAcentral
GGAGGGGGCUAGCGUUGUUCGGAAUUACUGGGCGUAAAGUGCACGUAGGCGGCUUUGUAAGUCAGAGGUGAAAGCCUGGAGCUCAACUCCAGAACUGCCUUUGAGACUGCAUCGCUUGAAUCCAGGAGAGGUCAGUGGAAUUCCGAGUGUAGAGGUGAAAUUCGUAGAUAUUCGGAAGAACACCAGUGGCGAAGGCGGCUGACUGGACUGGUAUUGACGCUGAGGUGCGAAAGCGUGGGGGGAGCAAACAGGAUUAGAUACCCUGGUAGUCCACGCCGUAAACGAUGAUAACUAGCUGUCCGGGCACUUGGUGCUUGGGUGGCGCAGCUAACGCAUUAAGUUAUCCGCCUGGGGAGUACGGCCGCAAGGUUA